Molecule: non-coding RNA, 1052 nt
Organism: Microcebus murinus (gray mouse lemur)
Lineage: Eukaryota; Metazoa; Chordata; Mammalia; Primates; Cheirogaleidae
Source: RefSeq, a predicted model, not a curated record
GAAAUAUUUAUGCCAAAGUAAAUGCUAAAUGGAAAAAGAUUUAAACAUUUUUUAAAAAAGUCUGAAAAAUACUCGAGAAUAUGUGUGAAUUUUUUUUUACUGUGGAAUGGAGAAGGCUCUUCUAACUGUAACCUGAAAUCCAUAAGCCAAGAAGGGUAACUGAUAAAUUUGUCUACAGGAAAAUUUAAGACUUCUGAAUGGCAAAAUAAAAAACCAUAAAGUCAAAGAACUUUAUUUUUAUCUGGUAAUCUUAAGUUUAUCUUCAAGGUCAUUCAAAAAACCUUUAAAGUAAAAUUUUUUUUAUUGUUUCUGAAGGUUUUGAGAGCUCAGAAAAGGACAUAUUUACAUUAAGCCCAGAUCCUUUUAGCAAUAUUUCCUUCACAACUGCUACUAAUCACCUAUUAUCCAAUCAGUAACCAUGUCAAAAUUAACAUAACACUGUAGACAGAUGUUAUAAAAAUAAGAUUGCUACUUUCUCUGACAUUUACUUUAAAAAUCCUAUACUUUAGUUAAGCAUGAAUGUCUGUGUUAACACAAAAUGUGUGUGUUCUUAUGGAGACUGAGAAAUCUUUGACCAUGUUCUUUCCUUCUUCUAAAAGAAAAAUUGUCUCAAUAAGAAAAGUAUGAUUUUGUGUUCUUAAUUAAUUAUAAAAGUGUGAGCUCAGGGGAAUAUAGGCUAAGUAUAUAAAACUACUAUUUUUGACUGAUAUUUUAUAUUGAAAUAUAAUAUUCGGUUAGAAAAAACUCAAAAAUGUUAUUGUUUCUCAAACCUAUGCUUCUAUUUACAUUAUAGGAAGGUGCAUGUAUAUAUGGACAGAAAAGUUAAGACUUGGUCAUCCAAACCUAUAUUCAAUCUAUGAUCAGGAAGAGUUUAGAAAGGUCCAAAAGACCAGAGAGUAGAGAGCACCUGACUCGAUGCAACUGGAACAGUACCAGGAGGCAGCAAGAAAGGACAUACACCAGCUGACCAGAGAUCAACAGAACAAAGCAAAUCACCUAAACAAAAACGAGGAUACAGGGAGGAACUUCUUGGCACAGAACUUUCCAAAAAG